CGUAGGUGGCAAACGUUGUCCGGAUUUAUUGGGGCGUAAAGGGAGCGCAGGCGGUUUAUUAAGUCUGAUGUGAAAGCCUUCGGCUUAACCGGAGAAGUGCAUCGGAAACUGAUAAACUUGAGUGCAGAAAAGGAUAGUGGAACUUCAUGUGUAGCGGUGAAAUGCGUAGAUAUAUGAAGGAACACCAGUGGCGAAGGCGGCUAUCUGGUCUGUAACUGACGCUGAGGCUCGAAAACAUGGGGUAGCAAACAGGAUU
Molecule: ribosomal RNA, 256 nt
Filed under: uncultured bacterium
Lineage: Bacteria
Description: partial 16S ribosomal RNA
Rfam family: Bacterial small subunit ribosomal RNA
Source: RNAcentral